This 478-nucleotide ribosomal RNA is filed under the name uncultured bacterium. Its description in RNAcentral is "partial 16S ribosomal RNA". It matches the Rfam family "Bacterial small subunit ribosomal RNA", at positions 28 to 507 of the family's 1533-position model. The record is from RNAcentral.
GAUGAACGCUAGCGGCAGGCCUAACACAUGCAAGUCGAGGGAGAAGCCCUUUCGGGGGCAGAAACCGGCGCACGGGUGCGUAACGCGUAUGCAACCUACCUUUCACAGGGGGAUAGCCCGAAAAAAUUUGGAUUAAUACCCCAUAAUAUUGUUGGAUGGCAUCAUUUGGCAAUUAAAACUGCGGUGGUGAAAGAUGGGCAUGCGUCCUAUUAGCUAGUUGGAGUGGUAACGGCACCCCAAGGCUACGAUAGGUAGGGGUCCUGAGAGGGAGAUCCCCCACACUGGUACUGAGACAGGGACCAGACUCCUACGGGAGGCAGCAGUGAGGAAUAUUGGUCAAGGGUCGGAAGACUGAACCAGCCAUGCCGCGUGCAGGAAGAAUGCCUUAUGGGUUGUAAACUGCUUUUAUAUGGGAAGAAUAAGGCGUACGUGUACGUUGAUGACGGUACCAUAUGAAUAAGCAUCGGCUAACUCCGUG